RNAcentral lists this ribosomal RNA (274 nucleotides) under uncultured bacterium. Its description in RNAcentral is "partial 16S ribosomal RNA". It matches the Rfam family "Bacterial small subunit ribosomal RNA", at positions 523 to 796 of the family's 1533-position model. The record is from RNAcentral.
AUACGGAGGGUGCAAGCGUUAAUCGGAAUUACUGGGCGUAAAGAGUACGUAGGCGGAUAUUUAAGUCUCAUGUGAAAGCCCUGGGCUCAACCUGGGAACUGCAUGGGAUACUGGGUAUCUAGAAUACAGUAGAGGGUAGUGGAAUUUCAGGUGUAGCGGUGAAAUGCGUAGAGAUCUGAAGGAACAUCAGUGGCGAAGGCGACUACCUGGACUGAUAUUGACGCUGAGGUGCGAAAGCGUGGGGAGCAAACGGGAUUAGAAACCCUAGUAGUCC